GGAUCCUGCAAAUACAAAAAAUAUAUCUACUCACUUGUUAUAUAAAAUACAAUUGCCUCUUAAUACAAAUGUCAUCUUAAUGAAUAAACUGUAUAUUUGAUUUUUGAUUACAAGUAAUUUUUGUUAUUUGAUUAUUAAAUACAGUAGCAGUAUAAAUAGUAAAUCUCUGAUUAAUCGAGUCAAUGAAAUGGUGACAUCUCUUCCCAUUCACUCUAAACUUAUCUCCCCUAUUAACCAAGACAACGGUCGAGUUCAUUUCGUUUCGCACCAUCUUCGGACAUUAGUGCCUGACGUAGUACUCAAUAGUGAGUCAGCUAUUUCCUCCCUUAGACAGAACCUGAUAAACUUUUUGCAAGGGACUGUACAUGUAAAUUUUUUCAAUUGUAAACAUUAGAAAAUAUUAUCCAGAAGUAAUAAAUACUAAUAAAGUAAAGUUAUUCUAAAAUGACUUUAUUAAUAAUUUGGCAAAUCUUAAAGAAAUAAAAAUAUACAGACAAGAAAGAAUUAUCAUAUAUAAAGCUAAAUACAAGUAUUUAGUAAGGUUUCAAAAUAGUGAUUUUUAACACUGAUAACCUGUACUGUAUGCCUAACAAUACUGGUCAUCAAAGCCAUCCAAUUCUGCUUGUUAAGAAUUACAUGAGCUGCUCAAUUCUGCAUGUCAUAUGGAUCUAUUUAAAACUGUAUUGAUUGAGUUUUCCACAUAAUUUUCACAAUAGUUUAUCUGUAUUUUUUGUUUGUUAUAGUUUAAUGCAAGUUUUUCCUUCUGGUAUUACAAAUUUGAUUUUAAUAAUUUUUUUUCUAAUGAAUAGUAC
This 812-nucleotide long non-coding RNA is filed under the name Androctonus crassicauda. The record is from RNAcentral. Lineage: Eukaryota; Metazoa; Arthropoda; Arachnida; Scorpiones; Buthidae.